Long non-coding RNA from Bos indicus x Bos taurus (hybrid cattle), 2019 nucleotides. The record is from Ensembl. NCBI's taxonomy places the organism in Eukaryota, Metazoa, Chordata, Mammalia, Artiodactyla, Bovidae.
CUCCUCUCAGCCCUCCUGCGCUCGCACAGCCACCGCUCCUUGGACAUGAGGUUGCUCCUCUCGGCUGACGCCCCUGGCAUCGGGCAUGGGGUAGCUCCUCCUGGCCGCCACCCCUGACCUCGGGCAUGGGGUAGCUCCUCCCUGCCGCUCCUGCGCCAUCACAGCCUGGCACUCCUGGCCGCCGCCCCUGACCUCGGACGUGGGGUAGCUCCUCUCGGCUGCCGCCUCUGACCUUGGGCAACGGGUAGCCCCUCUGGGCCACACUUCUGCAUGGUCUGUGGCAGCUGGGUGCUUCUGCGCGGUCCGUCGCAGCUGGUACACUUCAUGUCCAAGGUGGAUGGAAAUGAGACCAAGAGAAAAAAAUAAGUGGCUUCAUAACCUCACUUUAUCCAGAGAGUGGAAAAUAAAAUGCAAGAUUCCAAUCCCUGCCCUUCCAUUUCAUCUUUGAAAAAUACAGGAAGAGGUGGGCUGUUUUGGCUUCCUACCAUGGAUAAGGAUCUUGAAGGAGGAACUUGGCAGACCUUCUCCAUUCCCUGGGGCUUCGGCAAGGCAGUAGAGGAGGAAGGAGCACACAUAUGCCAGUGAGUAAGAGUCCUCAAGUGCAAAUAGCAGGGGACUUAUUGUUUUCAGAGAUUAUCUCGUGUUUUUUGGUUGAACAAAUUUAUUUGCACAAGGGUUGAAAGCCAUGUGUCAGAAUUAUACAAGAAUGAUGCCUUUGAUAGAAAAGUAAUGAGAUGUUUCUGAGUUUUUGUCCAGGAAAUUCUAGUAUUUCAAAAGAAUAUUGCAGAUGAGGCGGGAAUAUCCUGUAAAAGAAAGGUACAAAACUCUACUCAACUCUGGUUAUUUCCAUAAGACUGAAUGUCCAAAGGCAUUUUGAGGAAAAAGAAACUGAUUUCAGCUGCUCGUCCUUAGAUAUGGUAUUAUAAUAGGCUAUAAUUCGGUAAACUUUGGACUGCUCUUUUUGAAAGGGAAAUUGGAUUAUGUUGUGUUUAUUUUCCUUUUUAAAAAGGUGUCUUCUCAGAGACAAAUGUAUCUGUCUGGAUGAAAAGUUUUGAAUUUUAAACAGAAAAUGCUAUGUUGGCUAUGCAAAUUGGUUUGUAUUUAAUCUCUAUGUUCUGUGGUCUUGAUAAAUAAGGUUUUCUCCUUUGAGAAAAACCACAAUUUUACAGCAAGUUCAGAUCAUUUCUGAGUGGAUUAUGGUUUAUAUAAAAACGAAAUUCUUUCUCGAGGUUGUCAAAAUUUCAAGGAUGAGAAAUUUGUCAGUAAUGAAUACAUUUUGGAAUGCUGAUUGGAAAGUUUCCAGUCAUUCUGCUAUUUAAUGCUUCCUCAUUAAUCACUGGCACUGUGUAUUUUAAGCCACUUACGAAUUUGUUUAAAUGAUACUCUUUCGGUAGACCAUAUGAGAAUUGAGCGUUUAAGCAUUGCUAUAGGAACACUGUGUGGAGGCACGACUAUAAAGGAACUGCCACAGGUUAAAGAAGCUCUCCAAAUGGACAAAAUUCAUUACCCUUGACUUCUACUACUUGGGACUUUGAGCCAAAUAUUUUUAGAGUUGUUGUCAUUUUCCACAGCAGUAAUCACUUGGUGGCACUCUUCCUUUUAAACCAGUUUAACUCAUUUGCAUGAGUGCAAAUGAAACCUCUGUUAUGUAGUUCACUGUAAGGAAACUUUAGAAAAUUAUGUCCUCAUGUGGGACUAAAUCACACAGAACGGUCUGACAUUUUGGAACUAGCUAUUAUGCCCUCCAAACUAUUGUUUGCUUAUGACAUAAUUUCAUCUGGUAACUUUUUAGUGCACACAUUUUCCUGUUGAUUUCAUUCUUGAAGGAUGAAAUGAUUGAAUAUUUGGGCUAAGGAAAGUGACUCCUUAAGAUAGAAGAAGAUCCUGAGACUUGUGUCUCUUUCUGGCCUGGUCAAUAACAUAAAAAGAAAUAGAUUCAGCUCCAAGCUCAUUGAAGCAUAUUGUUUAUGAGUUUGGGAGAGAGUAGGUAAUAAAAGAGAUAAGAGAUAUUUUAAAUCA